AAUAGAUACCCGGGUAGUCCACGCCCUAAACGAUGUCAACUGGUUGUCGGGCCUUCAUUGGCUUGGUAACGUAGCUAACGCGUGAAGUUGACCGCCUGGGGAGUACGGUCGCAAGAUUAAAACUCAAAGGAAUUGACGGGGACCCGCACAAGCGGUGGAUGAUGUGGAUUAAUUCGAUGCAACGCGAAAAACCUUACCUACCCUUGACAUGUAUGGAAUCCUGCUGAGAGGUGGGAGUGCCCGAAAGGGAGCCAUAACACAGGUGCUGCAUGGCUGUCGUCAGCUCGUGUCGUGAGAUGUUGGGUUAAGUCCCGCAACGAGCGCAACCCUUGUCCCUAGUUGCUACGCAAGAGCACUCCAGGGAGACUGCCGGUGACAAACCGGAGGAAGGUGGGGAUGACGUCAAGUCCUCAUGGCCCUUAUGGGUAGGGCUUCACACGUCAUACAAUGGUCGGAACAGAGGGUCGCCAAGCCGCGAGGUGGAGCCAAUCCCAGAAAACCGAUCGUAGUCCGGAUCGCACUCUGCAACUC
RNAcentral lists this ribosomal RNA (531 nucleotides) under uncultured bacterium. RNAcentral's name for it is "bacterial SSU rRNA". It matches the Rfam family "Bacterial small subunit ribosomal RNA", at positions 777 to 1313 of the family's 1533-position model. The record is from RNAcentral.